This is a long non-coding RNA of Amphimedon queenslandica, 743 nucleotides long. RefSeq lists it as uncharacterized. NCBI's taxonomy places the organism in Eukaryota, Metazoa, Porifera, Demospongiae, Haplosclerida, Niphatidae. The record is from RefSeq and is a predicted model, not a curated record. The transcript has 4 exons.
UGCAAUAAUUUAAGGUCAUAUCUUACCAUGCAAAUGAAAGCACCACAAUCCACUGCAUUAGUCUGCACUGGCAUGUUGCUGAUCUAAGACAUGCAGUUAUUUGAAUUGUUAUGGCGAGUACUGUCCAUUCUAUGCUAUGUACAUACGGGUACAUGUAUGCCUAUAAACUUACAACACUGCUGAUAUUAGUCUUUACUUAUAAAAACUCUGGAGCUACUUAUGUGCAUAUCUUGUUUUGUUGCUUGACUUCUUUACUCUCUCCUCUCUCUAGGAUGUACCAUUACAUUAUUGAUGUUUCCUGUUUCAUUGGCACUUCUGCAAAAGUAGAUGCUAUGUCUCACUGGUCCGGUCACACUGCAGAGGGAGAGCCUUGUGAUACAUACCUUUAACUAUCAUCAGGUGAUAUGGCUAGUAUACUGUGAGAUGAUAUAGCCACAGCAGAAUGCUAUUGAUGGAGGUGAUGCUCUCUUUGUCCAGAGCCUUUAAUCUAUUGCUGACUAUAUUGACUCGGCAGUGUAGGAUUUAUUGACCAGAGAAGAGAAAGCUGUUAAUAGAUUCUUGUAUUGGACCAAAGAAGUAAUGAUAUAUGAAGCAGUUACUUCAGAGAUCUCUCGGAAACUAACAUGUUGACUUUAGAGAAGAGAGAGCUGAUGAUGAUAAUGACAGAGAAGAAGGAAAGAAGAAACAAGAGGAGGAGGAGGGAGUUUCUGGUCCUACAACUAAGAAACUAUGUCAUCGCUUGC